GUGCCAGCCGCCGCGGUAAUACGUAGGGUGCGAGCGUUAAUCGGAAUUACUGGGCGUAAAGCGUGCGCAGGCGGUUUUGUAAGACAGGUGUGAAAUCCCCGGGCUUAACCUGGGAACUGCAUUUGUGACUGCAAGGCUAGAGUAUGGCAGAGGGGGGUAGAAUUCCACGUGUAGCAGUGAAAUGCGUAGAGAUGUGGAGGAAUACCGAUGGCGAAGGCAGCCCCCUGGGUCAAUACUGACGCUCAUGCACGAAAGCGUGGGGAGCAAACAGGAUUAGAUACCCGUGUAGUCC
This 292-nucleotide ribosomal RNA is filed under the name uncultured bacterium. RNAcentral describes it as "partial 16S ribosomal RNA". It matches the Rfam family "Bacterial small subunit ribosomal RNA", at positions 505 to 796 of the family's 1533-position model. The record is from RNAcentral.